Molecule: long non-coding RNA, 5370 nt
Organism: Physeter macrocephalus (sperm whale)
Lineage: Eukaryota; Metazoa; Chordata; Mammalia; Artiodactyla; Physeteridae
Exons: 7
Source: RefSeq, a predicted model, not a curated record
UUUAAAUUUUUUUAAAAUUUAAAUUAAAAAAAUUUUUUUUGGCCGAGCCACAUGGCAUGCAGGACCUUAAUUCCCCAACCAGGGAUCUAAACUGUGCCCCCUGCAGUGGAAGCGCGGCGCCCUAACCACUGGACCGCUAGGGAAUUCCCAUGAAUGGAUUUGUUUAAACUAUUUUUUUCAAGUAGAGUUGAUUGACCAUGUUGCAUUAUGAACAGAUUUUUAAUUAAGGUUUACAGGUGAGUCACCAUAAAAAUGAUGCCAACUCUUCUCCCCCCACUGGUGAAGCCAUCGAAGGACCCUGCCCUUGUUUUGUGUGAAGAGGCCGUGAGUGAGUGUUGGAAGGUCCCCUCCCCUAACCCCACGUCUCAGAGGGGCAUUGCCUGCUGUUUCUCCUCCUCAGUCUUAAAAGAUCCUUCUGGACUUCCCCAUCACCAAGACACUCAUCUAUCAUGAUGACUAAAUUAAAGCAACUCGAAGAAUUGUUUUUACUUUAUUGUCUGCAUAAACGAACACCCCCAAGAACUUGCAGGGAGAGUUUAAGGGUGGGUAAACCAUACAUGUGACUGUGAGAGGGGCUGGAAGUCUCCUGUAGCAUUUUCCCCAGAAGGUCGGCAGAAAUGCGAACCAGUAAUUACUUCAGAAGACAAACUGCUGUGUCUGUGAGGAAGGAAGAGUGCAGCGUUCAGCCUCCCUGAGCCUCGAGACACUGGGCGGGCAGCACACGGGCCCACGUGCUCAUGGCACCCACUAUUACACAGACUUCCUGUUUCUGAUUUCAGGCCUUUCAGAAAAUUUCCUGUCAAAUGGAGAUCCUGACUGGUCUUUUCUGGUGCAUUCUUACUACACGGCAGAGAGCUAAUUUCAUAUCAUUGAGGAAGCUUUUCCCAAAGGGACUAAAACUGGGCUACUGGAGAAAGUAUAAAAACACGUGCAGGAGACAGGUUAGCGCUCAGGCCCAGUUACGCUGGAUGACUGUGAACGCUACACACUCCACAGAGGGACUCGGGAGCCCCAGCACUCAGCCCUGUGCAGGGCAACUUUCAACAGCUGCAGCAGGCCAAUUUCUUUCUGCGUUGAAGAAUCACCUCCUUCAAAACCCUUGGGAAUUCUCAAACUUCCAUAUCUAUAUGAUGUAUUACAUACAACGCCAGUUCUCCUUUUGGAAAAUUUGAUAUUUAAACACUAAUGAUGUUAAUAUUAAAAAAAAAUGUGUACAUGUCACAGGCAGGGAACGUUCCAAACACCACCCACACGACUCUUCACAACAACCUUCACGAAGUAGCAAUAGCCCCACUUUACCCAUGAGGAAACUGAGGCCAGAGGAAGAGGAAGUAAUUAACCCAAAGCCAAACGGCUAAGAAACAACGGAAGCAGGAUUGCAAUCAGCUCCAUUUGACUCCAGAGCUCAUGAUCUCGGUACCUGUUUUCCUCAGACCCUGCUUCGGAGGUCAGGAGACUUGGAUUUGAAUGCUGGCUUUAUUAUUUCUGCUGCCAUGAAAACUUGGACAAGCUAUUUUCUCUCCCUUAGCUUUAGUUGCCUCUUCUGCAAAAUAGGGAGAAUGACGUCUCUACCUCUGUGAGUUGCUUUGAAGAUUAGACGGCAUAUGUGAAAUGCUUCUGUCGAUGCCUGGCUCAUUGUAACAACCAGUAGCUAUCAUCUGUCAUUCGUCAUGAUACUCUGGAGUAGAACCAAGACGUGGUCCGGAAGCUUUGCUCAUCAGGGAGGAACUCUGAGCGUCUGCGCUCAGCCCAUCUCUGCCGGGGCUGCUGGUGCCUGGCAUCCUCCUCCCAGCACCGCACCUGCUUUGGGGCUGCUGUCCCGCAGCAGUGUCACCCCGCUCUGCCACUUUUCCUUGUCAGGGAGUCGGUGCAUCAGGAGGCGAUGGCGACACGGAGGGUUAAGUCAUUUCCUGGGGUCGCAAGGCUAGUGUAAGGAGGGGACGCUUCUCCUCCCAUUAUGUCUCUAUCCACUUUCCUUGAAACUGUGUGCCAGUCGGAGCAUUAUGGACAUUUUCAGCGUGACCACAUCUGGGAUGCUGGAGGGUGAUCUGGCCAAAAAAGGAAGUGGGUUGAAUUUUUAGGAAAGAGGAGCCUGUGUGGACCAGGGGAAGAAGCCGAGCAGCCUGAGACAGUGAAGUGGUUAUCGGUCUCCGGCUCCCGGGUGACGGAGGAGAGGAGAAAGGAGAUUUUCAGAACCCAGUUAUGUUAGACAUAUUAACAGAGGAAACUAACGUGACAGAAGAAAAAAACAAGAGGAGAUUCUUGGCCCCGAGGGCAAAGCAUUUAGUUGCCACAUCACUGAACUGGGCUUUGCAAAAGGUGUGUGCACAGCAAGAGUUGAACACAGCUCCGCUGAGGAAACAGCUAUCCCCCUGUGGAGCGAGGGCCCGUACUGCCUGGGACGUUCCAAGUCCCCGGCCAGUUACCAGGACACCUCCGACCGGCCCUCCCCAGCCAAGGUCCACUGUCCCGUUGGAGUGGGGGCAAUGGUGGGGGAACAAGAGGCCUGAUGCUUGGGAAGCAUAGAGCUGGUUCCACCCAGACGGCUCCUGGAAGAUCCUCAGACAGAUGGCAUUUCUGCAGGGUCCUGAAGCGUGAGAGCAUUGCUGGGAGUUGGCCGCAACUGUCUGGGCAGCACUGCUGGGUGUGGUGGUGGACAGGAACGGAAGAUUGGAGACUGUCUAGGAGGUAACAAGGAGCUGGUAGACGGAUGCGCUAACAGCAGGUCUCCACCACUGCCCGUCAAUCACCCCUCUGUUCAGCUUGCCCCUGGGAUGAUGCUGGGGAGACACCAAAGUACCUCGAGCACUUCCUCAGGAUGGCUUGUUUCUCAUGACUUCACCAUGAGAAAAGAAGAUGGAUUUCUCAACCACUUCCUCCUGCAGGAGGUAAACCUGGAGUGCCUUCGGGUUUCUGUGCAAGCAGGUAGCGACGGGAGCACUGCUGGUUGAUAAGAGUCAUCAGGGGUGGCUGCCUUUCUCAGUUGGAUUUCAGGUCCAGGAGUUUGAAAAGUGCCGUGAAGUAGAUCGUGCAAGCUCCUGAAACAGCCGCUAAAAGAACCGUUUGUAUUCCGCCAAUGAUCUUCAGAAAGGAGAGAUGCAGCCUCCCUUGAAAAGGCUAUCCUCUGACUUCUCCAAAGUUAGCCUGACCCACUGGCAGAGAUGCCUGCCUACACUGGGGAGACGCUGGGCUGGAGUCAGUGUGGUCUUUGUCUGUUUACUGGAUCCUGGGACACCGGGAGGGAGGCUGCAUGGAGCCUGUUAGUUUGGGGCAUGAAGUAAUAGAAGAGCACUUAGUGGAAGUAACCAUCACUGGGAUCCUCCUUCUUGCCCCCAGACAAGCUGUAAAAGUGAAUUUGAGCUCCGUGGAGAUAGGCAAGCGAUCCUGCUUUAUAAUGAAGAUGACCCAGCAUAACUUCCUGAUGGUCCCCCAGCUCCCUGGCUCUCUCCCCUCAACUUUCUUUGCUGAUCCGACCCCAUCUCGCGAGAGUUCUGUCUCUUUCCCAGUCUUUCCCGCAGGCAUCUCAGCCAGGUCCUGGGUUAGACUGGAUUACUCCGGGCCGGUUAUUUCUCUGUCUUCAUCUCCAGGUUCAAACUCUGUUCUGAACACUAGUCUUGUAUAUUCUCUGCAUACCCUUCCCAUAUAUACCCUCUAGUCUCUUCUCCAGCCCCCCGCCCCCCCCCCCCCAGCUACACUGGUGCUUAAAACCUUUCAGAAGGUUCUUAUUGUUCAAAGGAUAAGAUCCAAAAUUCUUAACAUGCCAACAAAAGCAUGCGUGACUGGCUCUUCUUUGGCCUCAUCUCUGGCUGCUCUGUCCUUUCUCCCUUCCUUUCCAAUGGGCCCAGCUCUGUCGCACCUCAGAGCUUCAAAUUCACCAUUCCCUUUACUUGGAAUGAUCGAUCCAACUCAAAUCAUCCUUCAGAGCUCAGCUGGGCCCCCUCUAAUCCCUUAGAGCUAGGUUAACUCUCAUUAUAUGCUCCGCAUCUUUAGCAGAGACACAAACAGAACUAUUUGUAAAAUGAUUUGUUUACUAUCUGUCUCCCUCAGAUCGUAACGAUGACACAGCUUAUAUCCCUACCGCCUGGUACAGUGCCAGGUGUUGAGUAAAGGCUCCGUAAAUGGAUUACUAACUGAACGAGUUUCGGUAUUGGGGGCUAAUUUCACUUCCCAAUCAUGCGAAUGUUCAUCUUGACUGUAGACGGAGCUUCAUCUCUGCAGGUUAUUUUUAUUUAAUGGAGUGGCACUAAGACUGAGGCUGUGGAGACACUUUUUCUCUCCCUCGCUAGGCCCUGACGGCAUUGCGGCCUGGCCUCCGGUCGGGGGUGCACACUGGCGCCCUGUAUGGGGCUUGGACUAAGGAGAGAGAGGCUCUGGAUGGUUUCGCCUCUUUGGGACCAUUAUUUGGUUUUCGCUUUUUUCUUUUCCCCUUCUGUAAUUCCCUUCCGUUUCCCCAAGACGUCUGUUCAAUCUGACGUGAACCGUGACCUCACAACUUGGUCUUGGCCGUGCUGCUAGGCAAGGGAGAGGCCACGCCUCCCCCUCGGGGCAAAACUGGAGGAGAAAAAGGCUAAGAGGCAAUGUGCAGCAGAGGGAACAGGAAUCAGGAGCAAAAAGGCCAGCGGAGGGAAGAAGGGCCAGCAGGGCAAGAUCUAGAGAGAUGAUCGUAGUCAUGAGGACCGUGCAGGCAUAUCUGGGGAGGGGCAAGUGGACAACGCCUGGACUUUUCUGAGGUCGCACAGCAUGCCAGUCACUGACUCCUUGCCUGUCAGCUCCAAAUUCAUCCUUUUUGCCGUCUCUGUAAGAAGGGAUCUGGGCCUUUUAUGUAAUUUCCCUUGCCAGCUGCCUCGUCGUUAGCUUUGUCAGUGUGGGCAGAACUUGCAGGAGGGCAGAACUCUGCCUGCCAGCUGCCUUGCUUGGCUGGCUCCUGCAUUUUGAGGGGUUUCUCCAGAACCAGGAUCCUGAAGUGCAGGGAAGAAGCCAGGGGCCACCGGCUUCUUCUGGCACCUCUCCUUCUGGGUGGUUUUGCAGCGAACUGCUUCCAUGAGGCAUCUCCCUCUAUACAACUUUCCCCGCACCCUAGAGGGUAGAUUUCCAGCAAGUUCCACUGGCGUGAUACCACAGUGACUUCCCUGGCACUUAGUGAACCAUAGCCAUGCUCUCCCCAGCAAGGUCUGGGUCUCAGGCUCGGGUAGGGGAGGGAUAAGGGAGCACCCUUAUCCUUGGGCGCUCUAUCUCGGCCCCAGGGGUAGCGGCUGCUUUAAAAAUCUUUGUAUCUGCUGUUCCUAUUUUCUUUCGCAUUCUCUUUACUUCUAACCACUCAAUCCCUCAUUGCUCCAAAUCCUGUCAUAGUUAAUAAUUCUUCCUAUUAAA